GGCAGUGUGGCAUAGUGGUUUGAUUGCUGGACUAUGACUCUGUAAACCAGCGUUUGAUUCCCUGCUUAGCCA
Non-coding RNA from Phrynosoma platyrhinos (Desert horned lizard), 72 nucleotides. The record is from the annotation of a GenBank genome assembly. Lineage: Eukaryota; Metazoa; Chordata; Lepidosauria; Squamata; Phrynosomatidae.